This 255-nucleotide ribosomal RNA is filed under the name uncultured bacterium. Its description in RNAcentral is "partial 16S ribosomal RNA". It matches the Rfam family "Bacterial small subunit ribosomal RNA", at positions 526 to 779 of the family's 1533-position model. The record is from RNAcentral.
CGGAGGGCGUAGCGUUGUUCGGAAUUACUGGGCGUAAAGCGCGCGUAGGCGGCUUUGUAAGUUAGAGGUGAAAGACCCGGAGCUCAACUCCGGAACUGCCUUUAAGACUGCAUCGCUAGAAUUGUGGAGAGGUAAGUGGAAUUCCGAGUGUAGAGGUGAAAUUCGUAGAUAUUCGGAAGAACACCAGUGGCGAAGGCGACUUACUGGACACAUAUUGACGCUGAGGUGCGAAAAGCGUGGGGAGCAAACAGGAUU